RNAcentral lists this long non-coding RNA (648 nucleotides) under Rattus norvegicus (Norway rat). Its description in RNAcentral is "long non-coding RNA NONRATT021440". Lineage: Eukaryota; Metazoa; Chordata; Mammalia; Rodentia; Muridae. The record is from RNAcentral.
GUGGACAUGGCGAGCUCCGACUGUGAGGACCAUGCGGGUCAGGAGGGGGAGACGUUCCUGUACUUCGCCUACGGCAGCAAUCUGCUGACCGAGAGGAUCCACCUGCGAAACCCUUCCGCCGUGUUCUGCUGCGUGGCGCGCCUGCAGGUCAGUGCCGUUGUGCCCGAUACCCGGAGAGCAGGCUAGCUGCGACCCCUGCCCGGAACCGCUGGCCACCAUCGGAGUUCGCAGCCCUCCACUGGCUGCCCCUUUCCACAGACUUCGAGCAUCCUGUAAGGACUUUAAGCUCGACUUCGGCAAUUUCCAAGGCAAAAUGAGUGAGAGGUGGCACGGAGGUAUAGCUACCAUUUUUCAAAGUCCUGGCGAUGAAGUGUGGGGAGUAGUAUGGAAAAUGAACAAAAGCAAUUUAAGUUCUCUGGAUGAGUAGGUGACUUCUAAUUACCAGUUACAAUAAUAAGUAAUCCAAAGCGGGCUGUCGGAAUGCGCGUUGGUGACCACACUGUAGAGACACUCCAUUCUUCAGAGUCGGUUCAGUAGUUAGAAACCAGCAGUCUGCUAACCAACCUAGAAGGGGACGGUCACACUCACUCAUUAGACGGGGGCGAUGCUUGUCUCUCUGAGGUAAAAAAAAAAAAAAAAAAAUGAAAG